Molecule: RNA transcript, 1623 nt
Organism: Nicotiana tabacum (common tobacco)
Lineage: Eukaryota; Viridiplantae; Streptophyta; Magnoliopsida; Solanales; Solanaceae
Gene name: tRNA-uridine aminocarboxypropyltransferase A
Source: RefSeq, a predicted model, not a curated record
UUUCUCUAAUAUCGUUACAAUUCGGUUUUAGAAGAGUUAUCCAAGUCGUUAGUAACUUCCAGAACUUCCUACUCCAAUGGACCCCGAAACCCAACUGGCAAACUCUACUCCCUUCGCCGCCGGCGAUGAUUCUGACGGUCACAACGAAGAGCGGCGAAAACUUUGCUCUAAAUGUAACAGACCAAUAAAAGUGUGUUUAUGCAGCAUAAUUCCACCGGAACCAAUCGCAACUAUUACUCGAAUCGUAAUCCUUCACCAUCCGCACGAGCAACGGCACAAGCUCGCCACAGUCCCUGUUCUAUCCAAGUGCCUCCACAAAUGCGACGUUAUAGUUGGCCGGAGAUUACGCUACGGCGAUUCAGAAAUUCUCGAUUCUCUUCACGAUGUUGCUAUUCUUAACCCUAAUUUUCCGCACAGAGCAAUUUAUCUGUUUCCUGGUGCUGAUACAUCACCAUCUCAGGAAAUCAAUCAUUGGAAAUCCUCGAAACAUAUUGUAGAGAUGAGCAACUACGUCUUGAUUUCUUUUGAUGGAACUUGGAAGCACGCUCGAGAGAUGAUGCGUGCAAGCUUAUCAUUUUUGUCAAAGUUUGCUGUCCAGGUUCACUUAGACUCUGAUGUUGGCAAUGACGGCGGGACGAUCUUCAAUUCUGAUUUAAUUCUUAGGAAGGAACCAUUUAGUGGAUGCAUGAGUACCAUGGAGGCAGUAGCACAUUGCUUACGGAUUCUUGAGCCUAAUGGCAUUGAUAUAGAGUCAAGUUUGAUAGAGGUUUUAAGAAGUAUGGUCAAGUUUCAGGCUUCUUUUCUCAAGCCUAUGAAGCCUAGGCCAAAGUUGAUAAAAGGAGGACGAGAGGGAAAAACAUAAUUGCCUUGUUCCAUCUUCUUUGCACUACUGAAGCAACAUGCACAAGGAUAGCCUCAAAUUCUGUUUUGGUUUGCAUGUACCGGACUGCUCACAGUUAUCCAGCCUGUACCUGGUAUCCCGAUUGAGCAAAAGGCAUGACCAUGAGGUGCUUUGAUGAGGUUAUUCAAAUUCUUCAGUUGCCGAAAACCUUGCCAGGCGGUGUUUUGAUUGGUGGGUAUAUGGCAGUAACCUGCUUAUGCGGCAGUUGUCUCUCAUGCUGCUUUUCUCCAGCCUCAAUGGCAUCUUGUUUCAGGUCAAAUUUCUGUAAAGUAGUCAGCCUGGGAAAUCUGAAUCUUGGGCUUUGAUUUCUUUGAUGAGCACUUGGAAGCAAGCUAAGGAACUUACAUGACAUUAACCACUGUUUGCUGCCUAGUUUUAUCACAUAUUUGCAAGUUAGUUGGCUGAUGAUCUUCAAUUUGGACAUGGUCUGCACAAGAAUAAUGGGGCCAAGUUCGAGUAAAAGAACCAAAGUGCAAUUCCUAAUGUCAAAUCUGUGAAGCAUUGGCUUCAUCUGCUGCUUCAAAGAGGGCAAAGAGGACGUCUAAAAGAUUAAUGAGACCGAAUGUCUUCAGAUGAAGUUUUAAUUUGGUUUCCUAGUACUGUUUAAGUAGUUUGUUCUGUCUUAGUGGUGGUGGUGUAAUUAUCAUUUAGUUGUUUGUUUCAAUUCAUGGCGAUUAGUCUUAACUCUUUAAGCAGUUGCAGCCAGUGGCGAAAUUUGCCCA